GCAUUGGUAGUUCAGUGGUAGAAUUCUUGCCUUCCACACAGGAGACCUGGGUUUGAUCCCCAGUCAAUGUA
Molecule: transfer RNA, 71 nt
Filed under: Loxodonta africana (African savanna elephant)
Lineage: Eukaryota; Metazoa; Chordata; Mammalia; Proboscidea; Elephantidae
Rfam family: tRNA
About the family: Transfer RNA (tRNA) molecules are approximately 80 nucleotides in length. Their secondary structure includes four short double-helical elements and three loops (D, anti-codon, and T loops).
Source: Rfam by way of RNAcentral